UUGAUUUGGAUUAGGAUUUGAUUAGGAUUUAGGAUUAGGAUUUGGUUAGGAUUUGGUUUGGGGUUUAGGAUUUGUUAGGAUUAGGAUAUGGUUUAGGAUUUGGUUUAAGAUUUAGGAUUUAAGGUUUGGUUUAGGAUUUGAUUUAGGAUUUAGGAUUUGGAUUAGGGUUUGGAUUAGGGUUUGGAUUAGGGUUUGGAUUAGGGUUUGGAUUAGGGUUUAGGAUUUGAUUUAGGAUUUGGUUAGGGAUUGAUUUAAGGUUUAUGAUUUGAUUAAGGUUUGAUUAGAGUUUGAUUUAGGAUUUAGGAUUUAUUUAGGAUUUGAUUAAGGUUGGAUUAUGAUAAGGAUUUGGUUAAAAUUUAAGAUUCUAUUAGAUUUUUGUUAGGGUUUGACUAAGUUCUUUUUAAUAUUUUUUUAUAUUUUUUUAGGAUUUCUUUGUGUUUCUUUUAUAAUUUCAAUAAAAUUUAAUUGAGCUUGCUUAAUAUUUGAUUAUGAUUGUUAACGUUUAAUUGUAAAUUCUUUAUAGUCCUAUUGGAUUGUUAGGACCUUUUGUUGUAAUUUUGUUUUACCUUCCACAGCCAGGUGCUCGAUGCAUGCUCAAGCAAGACUUCAUGUAAUAUGACAACGUUUUAGUAGCUUAUAGAAUAAGCUAAUUAUGUAGGACACAUAUAAAAAACUUGUCUUG
RNAcentral lists this long non-coding RNA (682 nucleotides) under Physcomitrium patens. Its description in RNAcentral is "long non-coding RNA (PPAT_LNC011367)". Lineage: Eukaryota; Viridiplantae; Streptophyta; Bryopsida; Funariales; Funariaceae. The record is from RNAcentral.